UUACCAACUGAGCUAGUGUGGAGUGGGAAAUAAUCUGUGCUAGGUAUAGGGCUGGCAGGUUACUUUUCCCCAGAGCAAGGAGUAACCAGGGACCAAAUUGUGAUUCCUGGCUGAGUCCAAAUAUUCCAAAGGUUAAUGAAAGUGAUUAUGCAUCUGCUUUCCAGCUCCAAACAGUAUCAGCUAUUCAUUACUGAGUCUCUGUUUGUAGAAAACAAACACAGGCAAUCUGAAUUAAGACAAUAAUGGCACAAUUCAAUAUCUAUUAAGUGCUGUCUUGGAGAUUUUAAAGGAAAAACAGCUUUGGCUAGGGCAAAGGGAUUGUAUAACUGCAUUGUUUCCUUGCUUCUGUGUAGUAAGUUAUGAAGAAAUAAUAGUGUGGAUAGAAUGGAAGAAUCCAGCAACUAUGAAGGAGGGCCCUCAUAACUCUUGGAUACAGAAAACAGGGUUUGUUUGGGUGAACUCCAUUCAAGGAACAUACCUCGGUGGGGUUCAGGUAGAGAAUAGAAGCACAGCAGAUCAGAAAACAGGGAGGCGAAUUGGAUUCAUAAAGUGUCUUAGAGCCGAUUUGCUGGCUGCAGAGUAUUUAGAAUGAAGAGUCUCUGAAGUAAGGCAUCAUGCAACAGCCUAUGAGCAAGCUUAGUCAAGAACAUGCUUGAGUGUGUGUUUCAAACAUAGGCACAACUCAAUUUUGCUGUGAAUUUUGUAUGUCUUUACAUGCACUUAUCAUUUUAUGUGGCAUCCAGGGUAAAAAAAUCAAUUCCAGAUCAGGUUGCAAUACACAGGAACUGACCAUUUUCAUAUACCGUGUGAUUUCAAUGGUCUAUUCAUAUUGGUGUUACUUCUACCACUCUAAAAGCUAUUGCCUCUAAUAUCAUCCUCUGGUGAGGGCAUUGCAUAGCAGAGGUUCUCAAACUUUUGUACUGGUGACCAGUGGUGAGCUGGAGCUAGUUCGC
This is a long non-coding RNA of Chelonia mydas (Green sea turtle), 953 nucleotides long. RefSeq lists it as uncharacterized. NCBI's taxonomy places the organism in Eukaryota, Metazoa, Chordata, Testudines, Cheloniidae. The record is from RefSeq and is a predicted model, not a curated record. The transcript has 3 exons.